ACGCUCGACACCUACGGGAGGCAGCAGUGGGGAAUAUUGCACAAUGGGGGAAACCCUGAUGCAGCGACGCCGCGUGAGCGAAGAAGUAUUUCGGUAUGUAAAGCUCUAUCAGCAGGGAANAAAUGACGGUACCUGACUAAGAAGCCCCGGCUAACUACGUGCUAGCAGCCGCGGUAAUCUGAGCGGCUGGCAAGGC
RNAcentral lists this ribosomal RNA (196 nucleotides) under uncultured bacterium. RNAcentral describes it as "partial 16S ribosomal RNA". It matches the Rfam family "Bacterial small subunit ribosomal RNA", at positions 328 to 539 of the family's 1533-position model. The record is from RNAcentral.